This 253-nucleotide ribosomal RNA is filed under the name uncultured bacterium. RNAcentral's name for it is "partial 16S ribosomal RNA". It matches the Rfam family "Bacterial small subunit ribosomal RNA", at positions 524 to 776 of the family's 1533-position model. The record is from RNAcentral.
UACGGAGGGUGCGAGCGUUAAUCGGAAUUAUUGGGCGUAAAGCGCACGCAGGCGGUUUGUUAAGCUAGAUGUGAAAGCCCCGGGCUCAACCUGGGAUGGUCAUUUAGAACUGGCAGACUAGAGUCUUGGAGAGGGGAGUGGAAUUCCAGGUGUAGCGGUGAAAUGCGUAGAUAUCUGGAGGAACAUCAGUGGCGAAGGCGACUCCCUGGCCAAAGACUGACGCUCAUGUGCGAAAGUGUGGGUAGCGAACAGG